GAUGAACGCUGGCGGCGUGCCUAAUACAUGCAAGUCGAGCGAACGGACGAGAAGCUUGCGUCUCUGAGGUUAGCGGCUGACGGGUGAGUAAGACGUGGAUAACCUACCUAUAAGACUGGGAUAACUUCGGGAAACCGGAUCUAAUACCGGAUAAUAUUUUGAACCGCAGGGUUCAAAAGUGAAAGACGGUCUUGCUGUCACUUAUAGAUGGAUCCGCGUUGCAUUAGCUAGUUGGUAAGGUAACGGCUUACCAAGGCAACGAUGCAUAGCCGACCUGAGAGGGUGAUCAGCCACACUGGAACUGAGACACGGUCCAGACUCCUACGGGAGGCAGCAGUAGGGAAUCUUCCGCAAUGGGCGAAAGCCUGACCGAGCCAUGCCGCGUGAGUGAUGAAGGUCUUCGGAUCGUAAAACUCUGUUAUUAGGAAAGAACAUCUGUGUAAGUAACCGUGCACAUCUUGACGGUACCUAAUCAGAAAGCCCCGGCUAACUUCGUG
Molecule: ribosomal RNA, 497 nt
Filed under: uncultured bacterium
Lineage: Bacteria
Description: partial 16S ribosomal RNA
Rfam family: Bacterial small subunit ribosomal RNA
Source: RNAcentral